This 484-nucleotide ribosomal RNA is filed under the name uncultured bacterium. RNAcentral describes it as "partial 16S ribosomal RNA". It matches the Rfam family "Bacterial small subunit ribosomal RNA", at positions 29 to 507 of the family's 1533-position model. The record is from RNAcentral.
AUUGAACGCUGGCGGAAUGCUUUACACAUGCAAGUCGAACGGCAGCACGGGGGCAGCCCUGGUGGCGAGUGGCGAACGGGCGAGUAAUACAUCGGAACGUGCCCGGUCGUGGGGGAUAACGUAGCGAAAGUUACGCUAAUACCGCAUACGAUCUGAGGAUGAAAGCGGGGGACCUUCGGGCCUCGCGCGAUCGGAGCGGCCGAUGUCAGAUUAGGUAGUUGGUGGGGUAAAGGCCUACCAAGCCGACGAUCUGUAGCUGGUCUGAGAGGACGACCAGCCACACUGGGACUGAGACACGGCCCAGACUCCUACGGGAGGCAGCAGUGGGGAAUUUUGGACAAAGGGCGCAAGCCUGAUCCAGCCAUUCCGCGUGCAGGACGAAGGCCUUCGGGUUGUAAACUGCUUUUGUACGGAACGAAAAGGCUCUGGCUAAUACCUGGGGCUCAUGACGGUACCGUAAGAAUAAGCACCGGCUAACUACGUG